ACGGUGGUGACCAAGUCACGCACAGAUGGUCUCCGCGUAUCAGGUGUAGGGGUGUAAAGGACCCCUACCAAUGACGCGAACGGGUUGUGGGAGCAAUCGCCCGGAGAUGGAUUCUGAGACACGAAUCCAGACCCUACGAGGUGCAGCAGGCGCGAAAACUUCACACUGCAGGAAACUGUGAUGAGGGUACUCCAAGUGCAGGCACAAUGUGUAUGCUUUUCCUAACUUGUAAUCGGUUAGGGAAUAAGGGCUGGGAAAGACCGGUGCCAGCCGCCGCGGUAAUACCGGCAGCUCAAGUGGUCGUCGCUUUUAUUGGGCCUUAAACGUCCGUAGCCUGUUUGGUAAAUCUGUGGGUAAAUCAACCAGCUUAACUGGUUGAAUUCUGCAGAGACUGCCAGACUAGGGACCGGGAGAGGUGUGGGGUACUCUCGGGGUAGGGGUAAAAUCCUGUCAUCCUGGGAGGACCACCAGUUGCGAAGGCGCCACACUGGAACGGAGGAGACAGAUGAGGGACGAGAGCCUAGGGGCACGAACCGGAUUAGAUACCCGGGUAGUCCUAGGAGUAAACGCUGUGAACUUGGUGUCGGGGAUCCUACUUGGGUUCCCGGUGCCGGAGUGAAGAUGUUAAGUUCACUGCCUGGGGAGUACGGUCGCAAGGCUGAAACUCAAAUGAAU
This 675-nucleotide ribosomal RNA is filed under the name uncultured euryarchaeote. RNAcentral describes it as "bacterial SSU rRNA". It matches the Rfam family "Archaeal small subunit ribosomal RNA", at positions 94 to 865 of the family's 1478-position model. The record is from RNAcentral. Lineage: Archaea; Methanobacteriati; Methanobacteriota.